CCAAACAAAAAAAUAGACUUAUGAUAAUUCUAUCGAAGCGUAUACAAAACAAUUGAUUGAUUAAACCUAUAAUUUUGUUAGGUUAAGUUUCUAUUUGCUUUCGAUAUUAAUCAAACCCUUACUUUACCAACCACAUUGAUUUUUCCAAUUACUAUUAAAAAAAAAAAAAAAAAGAGAAUCUUUAAAGUUUUAAAUUUAUUUUUAGAACCACUUUACACAACAAGGUCUUCUAUAAAUAGCUAAACUCCAUAACC
Molecule: long non-coding RNA, 254 nt
Filed under: Capsella rubella
Lineage: Eukaryota; Viridiplantae; Streptophyta; Magnoliopsida; Brassicales; Brassicaceae
Description: long non-coding RNA (CRUB_LNC004561)
Source: RNAcentral